Molecule: ribosomal RNA, 279 nt
Filed under: uncultured bacterium
Lineage: Bacteria
Description: partial 16S ribosomal RNA
Rfam family: Bacterial small subunit ribosomal RNA
Source: RNAcentral
UGCCAGCCGCCGCGGUAAUACAGAGGGUGCAAGCGCUAAUCGGAAUUACUGGGCGUAAAGCGUGCGUAGGCGGAUACUUAAGUCAGAUGUGAAAGCCCCGGGCUCAACCUGGGAAUUGCAUCUGAUACUGGGUGUCUAGAGUAUGGUAGAGGAUGGCGGAAUUUCCGGUGUAGCGGUGAAAUGCGUAGAUAUCGGAAGGAACAUCAGUGGCGAAGGCGGCCGUCUGGGCUGAUACUGACGCUGAGGCACGAAAGCGUGGGGAGCGAACAGGAUUAGAUA